UUGACUAGCUGAGAGGAGGCGCAUGGCCGUCGUCAGUUCGUACUGUGAAGCAUCCUGUUAAGUCAGGCAACGAGCGAGACCCACGCCAACAGUUGCCAGCAUGGUCCUCCGGGAUGAUGGGGACACUGUUGGGACCGCCUCUGCUAAAGAGGAGGAAGGAAUGGGCAACGGUAGGUCAGCAUGCCCCGAAUUAUCCGGGCUACACGCGGGCUACAAUGGUCAGGACAAUGGGUAUCGACACCGAGAGGUGGAGGCAAUCUCCUAAACCUGUCCUUAGUUCGGAUUGUGGGCUGCAACUCGCCCACAUGAAGCUGGAAUCCGUAGUAAUCGCGUUUCAAAAUAGCGCGGUGAAUAUGUCCCUGCUCCUU
Molecule: ribosomal RNA, 368 nt
Filed under: uncultured Methanolinea sp.
Lineage: Archaea; Methanobacteriati; Methanobacteriota; Methanomicrobia; Methanomicrobiales; Methanoregulaceae
Description: bacterial SSU rRNA
Rfam family: Archaeal small subunit ribosomal RNA
Source: RNAcentral